Molecule: long non-coding RNA, 255 nt
Organism: Anastrepha obliqua
Lineage: Eukaryota; Metazoa; Arthropoda; Insecta; Diptera; Tephritidae
Exons: 3
Source: RefSeq, a predicted model, not a curated record
AAAAAGAGCUUUUAGAAAAAGAAAAUGCAUUAAUAAUUUUGGAAAAACCAGAUAAAAAUUUAUUUUUUCAAUAAUAACUUUUUAUCUUACUCGGAGAGAGAUGGCGACCAAGGAUUACAGGAGAGCGGCGAGGCGAACAUAGGAGGUAACCCGAUUAAGCGGUGCCGCUGACUAUUCGAUUGCAUGAAAAAAAUAUAUGUAGCGGCAGACAGUAACAAAAAAUAACGGAGCAGUUAAUUGAUGAAAUAUAAAAAA